CUUCCGUAGGUGAACCUGCGGAAGGAUCAUUAUCGAGUUGCUCUGACUCUGGUGUGCUAGCUUGACCUUCCUAGGCAUGUGCUCUGCCUGCUCGUCCACUCUGCACCUGUGACACUUACUGUGGGCUUCGAAGAUGGUAAAAUGGGUCUGUUUAUCGGUUUUGUCUUGCGGAGCGUGUCUGUGCCUUCGCGUAUUAUCACAAACUCUACUAAAGUAUUAGAAUGUGUCUUGCUUUGUACACGGAUCUAUGUGCAACUUUCAGCAACGGGUUUCUUGGCUCUCGCAUCGAUGACGAACUCAUGGAAUAUCUGAACGCACUUAGUAAUGUGAAUUGUACAGAAUUCACUGAGAAUCAUUGAAUCUUUGAUCGCACCUUGCGCUCCUUGGUAUUCCGAGGAGCAUGCCUGUUUGAGUGCUCCUGAAAUCUUCAUCAUCCUGGAAGCUUUUGUGGUUUGCUAGGCUUGGACUUGGAGGCUUGUCGUACGACCGUUGUUGGUCGUCUCCAUUUUAAAUGCCUUAGCUUGGUUCCUUGCGGAUCGGCUCUCAGUGUGAUAAUGUCUACUCUGGGCCCGAUGAAGCGUUUGGCUUGCUUCUAACCGUCUCAGUUGGAGAAACAACUUUGUGACCUCUGACCUCAGAUCAGGUAGGACGUUCGCCGCUGAACUUAAUAUAUCAAUAAGCGGAGGAA
Molecule: ribosomal RNA, 688 nt
Filed under: Ganoderma sp. BAB-5061
Lineage: Eukaryota; Fungi; Basidiomycota; Agaricomycetes; Polyporales; Polyporaceae
Description: eukaryotic LSU rRNA
Rfam family: 5.8S ribosomal RNA (bases 254-418)
Source: RNAcentral